Molecule: long non-coding RNA, 128 nt
Organism: Hippoglossus stenolepis (Pacific halibut)
Lineage: Eukaryota; Metazoa; Chordata; Actinopteri; Pleuronectiformes; Pleuronectidae
Exons: 3
Source: RefSeq, a predicted model, not a curated record
GAGCUGCUGCCGGGGGCCACCAUGAGCCAGAGAUGGAGGUAGAGGGAGCCAGAGCCGCCAGGAGCCGGAGCCCAUGGACCCAUCAUUUGGUGGUAGUUACCGAGAGGAGACCCCACAAACCUUUUUCU